AGUAGAAGAUAGAACCUCGCCCUACGAAUGACGAAGCCGUGUUCAUCGUGUACAACGAAAAAUAUACCUUGUGUAGAAAGAGAUACACAAUGACAAGCAGAGAUAAUAUUAGGACCCAUCAAUAUGCGACACGAUGCACUUCGCCACCUCUACUCAUCAUAAACACCGAAGGAGCCAAGGCAGCAGCGCGAAGGGCUCGCAAUACAGCAGCAUCGCAGGCUCGCCGCCAUCACUCCGCGGUGAGAGCUCGCGAGGCCGAAGAGAGACGACAACGCCAACAGCAAGCACAAACUACUACCAGCA
Molecule: long non-coding RNA, 303 nt
Organism: Rhipicephalus sanguineus (brown dog tick)
Lineage: Eukaryota; Metazoa; Arthropoda; Arachnida; Ixodida; Ixodidae
Exons: 3
Source: RefSeq, a predicted model, not a curated record